This 458-nucleotide ribosomal RNA is filed under the name uncultured bacterium. RNAcentral's name for it is "partial 16S ribosomal RNA". It matches the Rfam family "Bacterial small subunit ribosomal RNA", at positions 338 to 795 of the family's 1533-position model. The record is from RNAcentral.
CCUACGGGUGGCAGCAGUGAGGAAUAUCGGUCAAUGGGCGAGAGCCUGAACCAGCCAAGUCGCGUGAGGGAGUACUGCCCUAUGGGUUGUAAACCUCUUUUGUCGGGGAGCAAAAGCCGGACGUGUCCGGCUGUGAGAGUACCCGAAGAAAAAGCAUCGGCUAACUCCGUGCCAGCAGCCGCGGUAAUACGGAGGAUGCGAGCGUUAUCCGGAUUUAUUGGGUUUAAAGGUUGCGCAGGCGGAUUUUUAAGUCAGCGGUAAAAUCGUUGGGCUCAACCCCAUCCAGCCGUUGAAACUGGGGAUCUAGAGUGUGCGAGAGGUAUGCGGAAUGCGUGGUGUAGCGGUGAAAUGCAUAGAUAUCACGCAGAACCCCGAUUGCGAAGGCAGCAUACCGGUGCACAACUGACGCUCAGGCACGAAAGCGUGGGUAUCGAACAGGAUUAGAUACCCCAGUAGUC